AGCGAACGCUGGCGGCAUGCCUAACACAUGCAAGUCGAGCGCUCCCAGCAAUGGGGGAGCGGCGGACGGGUGAGUAACGCGUAGGAACGUAUCCUGAGGUGGGGGAUAACCCUGGGAAACUAGGGCUAAUACCGCAUGAUGGCGAGAGCCCAAAGAUUUAUCGCCUUGGGAGCGGCCUGCGUCUGAUUAGCUUGUUGGUGGGGUAAAGGCCUACCAAGGCGACGAUCUUUAGCUGGUCUGAGAGGAUGAUCAGCCACACUGGGACUGAGACACGGCCCAGACUCCUACGGGAGGCAGCAGUGGGGAAUAUUGGACAAUGGGCGAAAGCCUGAUCCAGCAAUGCCGCGUGAGUGAUGAAGGCCUUAGGGUUGUAAAGCUCUGUCAGGCGGGAAGAAAUUCCCUUGGGUAAAUAUCCUGGGGGAUUGACGGUACCGCCGAAGGAAGCACCGGCUAACUCCGUG
RNAcentral lists this ribosomal RNA (461 nucleotides) under uncultured bacterium. RNAcentral's name for it is "bacterial SSU rRNA". It matches the Rfam family "Bacterial small subunit ribosomal RNA", at positions 29 to 507 of the family's 1533-position model. The record is from RNAcentral.